GCCUGGGUGGCUCAGUCGGUUGGGCGUCUGACUUCGGCUCAGGUCAUGAUCUUGCGGCUCGUGGGUUUGAGCCCCAUAUCGGGUU
RNAcentral lists this transfer RNA (85 nucleotides) under Felis catus (domestic cat). It matches the Rfam family "tRNA". Rfam says of the family: Transfer RNA (tRNA) molecules are approximately 80 nucleotides in length. Lineage: Eukaryota; Metazoa; Chordata; Mammalia; Carnivora; Felidae. The record is from Rfam by way of RNAcentral.